UUCACACCUACUUGUGACAUAGCUCUAAUGGAAUCAUUGUGUUAUUUGUGCUAUAAGAAAUCUUCCUGAGUUCCCUUAAAAAAGAAAAAGAAAUCAUCCUGAGUUCCUGAGGAACAUAAUUAGAUUCAUUACCCAUAUUACAAUUUCAGAAUUAGAUGUACCUUUGUCCUAUAUAGUUGCAAUUAUAGAAUAAUCGGUAGUCCACAAUAGGUGGUUUGACAAAUCAAUUAUACGAACUAAUAAUAAUAUAAUACUAUUAGAUUAUAUCAGAACGAUGAAUCGGUCAUCUAUACCAACAAUAAAAUAAAGUCCUGAUUAAUUUCCUUCACACGAAACUAUCUACAAUCGAAUUAUACGCAAAUGGCGAGGAUUUCUUUUGCCUUCUUCAUUAUCAUGAUAUUGGUGAUUUUUUCAACUUUAUCAGCUACAACAUUAGCAAGACCGGUUGAGACAACUACAUCAACAACAUGCCGACGCGGUAACGAAAUUUGUGGAGGUUUUGGUGCAUUUUCCUGCUGUGAAGAAUUCAUUUGUGUUCUUGAAAGUGAUUUCGAUGGUGCAAAUGGAGUUUGCAUGCCAAGUCUUCGUUAUUAAGCCCGUACUUAUUAUUCGUCAAUUUGGUGUAUAUACAUUAUACAUAUAUAUAGUAUGUGUCUAUUUUCUUUUUUGAUUCAAAUGAAGCUACACCAAAACAACAGCAAAAAACAACAAAAAGGAAGUUACUUAAUUGCAUCUAUAUUUGGCUUUGAUUUGUGCAAUGAAUUUUUGAUUAUUUUAUUUAUAACAAAGGGUUUAUUAGUUUCUUUUGAUUUAA
Beta vulgaris subsp. vulgaris (sugar beet) is the source of this 814-nucleotide long non-coding RNA. RefSeq lists it as uncharacterized. The record is from RefSeq and is a predicted model, not a curated record. The transcript is spliced from 2 exons. NCBI's taxonomy places the organism in Eukaryota, Viridiplantae, Streptophyta, Magnoliopsida, Caryophyllales, Amaranthaceae.